GUGGCCUGGAAGAGGAGUGGCCGAAUGUGUCUCCAACUGCAAGGCAGGACCCAGACUGAGCAGGAAAAGGUGACAACUGCCCACUCAUCAUGGCCUCUGUAAAGCAGGCAGGCCACGGACCAUCAAAGAUGGAGGAGGAGUGUGUGUACGCGCACAGGAGUGUAUUCAAGAGUGCGAGCGAAUGAGCAAUGGAACUGGUCAGAACUGGGCCCAGCACAACAUAACCAAUAUCUGUGCCCGGCCAGAGUGCCUCGUCACCCCCAGUGCCUUUUAAAGACUCUGAAUAAAUGGGAUUUCUGGGAAGACACUGAAGUGAAAACCUGCCUUCUGCUAAAUCCUGGCCCACCUGCUUAAAAAUUCCAUCUCCUCUCUUGGAAGGAAAAAGGAGGAAAGAGAAGGCCCCUCCUCCACCGGAGUCUGAUUUAAAUGCUGGGACCACAGCUCUGUGCCUUCGCCUCUCCUGAUGUCUGAAUAUAUUCCUUUAUUAUCAUUAUGACAGCUUUCUGAUUGCAUUAAAAUUCAUCCACACGUGC
Diceros bicornis minor is the source of this 533-nucleotide long non-coding RNA. RefSeq lists it as uncharacterized. The transcript is spliced from 3 exons. Lineage: Eukaryota; Metazoa; Chordata; Mammalia; Perissodactyla; Rhinocerotidae. The record is from RefSeq and is a predicted model, not a curated record.